This is a long non-coding RNA of Anopheles coluzzii, 2869 nucleotides long. RefSeq lists it as uncharacterized. Lineage: Eukaryota; Metazoa; Arthropoda; Insecta; Diptera; Culicidae. The record is from RefSeq and is a predicted model, not a curated record. The transcript has 2 exons.
UAUUGCUGUCUCAUUGCAUGAUUUCACACGUACAGAUACGUACAGAAUUCUGAAUUCCAAUAGAAUAGAAUUUUUCCAAUCUAAACAAAUCCUGAUAAGAAAUGUUCAAUAUCGCAUCAGCUGGGUUGAGUCCUUCUCACUAUCGCUGCCCUUAAGUUUUUUAACUGAAUAUUUAAAAUUUAAUUUUUCAGCAAAUGAAGCGAAAACCAGCCAAACCCCUAGUCCGAAAGGCCAUCUAAAUAAGCGAUGAUAUCCAUGCAGAACCUCACGGUACACGUACACAAAUACCAAACCUAUCCCAUUACUUCGCCACGGUUGGGGGGGUUGGUGAACGCUUAACGCCGAUGCCAUUCUCACCCCAAAAAGGCCUUGAUGGAAAAGGUUUCGAGGAGCCAAGCUGGGGGCAAAAGCCCUUCCUGCUUCUUCUGUUGCAAGUUGAAUGACCCUCCUUUUGGUGCAGCCAUUGCAUGACGACAGCGAAAAGCCACGAAAGGCGACCGAAAGGUGAAACUAGUACCAUUUAUCCACCCCCCCCCCCCCUCCCCCCUUGAUUGCUGCUGCUGGGUGAGUGGGUGGCCAUGUAGCGUGGGUGAGAAAACCACUGGCAAAGCGGCUGGAGGAAAAGGAAGAAGCAGAAGAAGGGUAUUGAAAGCAUUGAAAAAGCGGGACACGGGCGUAAAAGUCAUCCGGCUGCAGAAAGGCUGCUAGGUAUUACCUAAUCCACCAAGCCUCUGCGCAUUCGAUUGCGCGAAAGUUCAACCUCCUGAGCUCUGCCCACGUCGUCGUCGUCGGUUGUCUAGGAGAUUGCAACCACACCCGGAAGAGUGUGUUGCCUGCACAGGCGACCAAGAUCACAGCAGCCUGUGCGCGGGACCGAGACACGAUUCUAUCUCUCCGUGGCAGUUGUCCGGGCAGCACUCUAUCUACCCCGCAGAUCGACACUUUCCCUUUCGAUUGGUGAAGUCGUCGGCGUGCAUUUGGGACGAAAGUGGCAGUACAUCGGCGGAACAGGCAAGCAAUUGCUGCGGGCGAAGUUGCACGUUAGCAUUAUUGAAUCGUUUCGACGUUGCUAUUUUUAGGUUUGGUGAAGAGAUGAAACCCAAAAGAGGCAAUGAUCAAAAACCCAUCCAUACAUCAGCAGCGAUGCAGUCGUUUUGAAUGCUCCAGAUGUGGCGUUGGCGUUCCGGGUCCAUCUGCAAUCUGUUCCGUGUUUCGGACAUCUAAGUUCUCUCUCGCAAUCCGGCCCCAAAUAUGAUGUAAGCGUCUAGUUGGUAAGUGCAUACGGUACAAUUAGGCUGCUGCGUAAUACUGAUUCGAUUCGCAAACAGCAAAAAAAAAACUGCAUUUUCCAUUCGUUCAGAGUGUUGCAUGGGCUUAGAGAUAGGGAGAGAGAGUGAGAUGCGUAAGACAGGAAGUGUGGUUUGCGGUGUCUCCGGCCAGCCGAGGCACGGAAGCUUUUAAUGAUUGGGUACCCGCCUUCACUGAUCGAUGCAACACAUACGGAUGCUAUCUUAUCGUCCACCCCUGCACCGCAGGCUACACAACACCGGUAACCGGUUCCGUGACGUGUAGUACUCGCCAGUGUCAUCGGAAGACAUCUUGAGUAGAGCGCGCGCGCGCGCUCGUAAGUGGAACGAGCAUGACCACCGGGACAAUCUAAUCAACCCUCAGUGCCAACCCGCCGCGUGUUUUGCCCCGUGUUUCCCUUUUGGAAGAGAUGAUACGAGCACGAUAAAGGUUGGAGCGGCGGUCUGUGUUGUCCCGGCAGUUGCCCGAUAGCGAUCGGGGCCGAUGGUUUAUCGAUGUUGGUCAACAGGAUUCCCCCAUUUGUGGCGUGUCUUGUUAUUUCGGGGAGAGGAUCCCCCUUGAUUGAAGUGUCUGCUUCAGACUUUGUUUCCAACGACGUCCCAACGACUCUUCAGCAACGUCAGCAGAUUAUGGUCGCGUUUUGAGAAAAAGGCUUUUGCGAGACAAAUUCCACCAACUCCGGUCCGAGGCGGCGACAAACCGUUCAGCAACGACACACCAACUAAUGAAUACCAGUUCUUGCCAACUCCAUGUCCACUAUGUCCAAGAAAGUGGAUUCAUCCUCCCUUCCUCCGCACUAAAUUGUCCAAGGCGGAAACUUGGCUGGAAUUGGCACGACAGGACCAGGCAAAGUCCACCUUUACAUGUUGGGUGCAUGAUUUUUGUUGUUUUUUUCCACUGGUGGUGCCUGCCUGCCGAUCCGAAACAUGGUCAACCUUGAGACGGGGUAAACCGGCUUUGGUUGGUAGCCAACACGACGGGGCUAGGCACACGAUCCCCUGCUUGGACCAUUGGGCUUGGACCCUUAGGCUUGUUGGACCUAGGGAGUGGAAGGGAGGACGCAGAGAUGCUUGGAGGCAUUCUUAUCAACCACUAGCCAGAAUAUCCGCCUUUCAAGUCCGCCCGAUUGGUGCGUGCGAGUUGUGUGUUAGUGUGCCGUGACGCCAUUAAAAGCGUGGAGGAUUUAAUAAAUUGCACUACAGGGAAUCGCUUCAGCGUUAGGUGCCUGUUUAGGGUUUAAGGUUGGAAGCUAGUAUCAUUGCGCGUCUGUUUGCUGGAGCUCCAAAGGGUCACACAACGAGACGUAUUUAUUCACCAAGUCCCAUUGAUAAUUGUGAUGAAAGAAAGAUCAUUGAAUCAAGUUUUUAGAAUGCAUAAUGAGAUGAGCCCAAUAUAAGCUCCGAUAAAGUGUCUGCAUACGCGUAUUCUAGUUACGGGCUUGGGCGUCGUAUAAAUUUGAAGCUUAAUUUUAGCGCCUCGAAGAUUCGCAGUCGUGCCUAAGAAUAUUUAAAUCCAUUGGUCAACCGUCAACCGGGCAAAAAUACAUGUUCCUUCAACUCCA